Long non-coding RNA from Cyprinus carpio (common carp), 1277 nucleotides. RefSeq lists it as uncharacterized. NCBI's taxonomy places the organism in Eukaryota, Metazoa, Chordata, Actinopteri, Cypriniformes, Cyprinidae. The transcript is spliced from 3 exons. The record is from RefSeq and is a predicted model, not a curated record.
AUGUGUGUGUGUGUGGGUGUGUGUGUGUGUGUGUGGUGUGUGUGUGUGUAAGCUCUAUACCAUAGAGCCCACCGCAUAACAAAUCCCAAUUUAACCCCUGUAUAUACGUAUAUAUUUGACUGUACAUCACUUCAUGAUGCACGAGUGAAAAUAUAAUAAGUGUGCGUAAUAUGUCAUAUUGUGUCUCACAUUUGAUGUUUCUUCAAAACUUUUUUUCAAAGAUUCCUGACCUGAUGUUUUCAGAACGUAAGGAUAUAUUGUGGAAGAUUCAAGAGUUUUUUUCGUCUUCAUCUUCAGAUUCAUGCCAUUCACACUCACACAGCUCUGCCUAUCUACUCUUUUACAAAAAGUGUGAAAAAGUGUAAAAGUGUAAAAAGGGAUUGACUGAAUCAGUAAAAAGACACAGAGCAGAAUAUCAUCAUUUAGGGUGAUACAUGCUAUAUAAGCAGAAUUUAACCAGGCUCAAAGGCUUCCAGUAAAUGACUGUGAAUGUAUUUAUAAAUCUCUCUGCUCAACAGCUGAUGAUUUGAAACAGGUGCGUCACAAACAUAUAUAAGUGUCGUGCUGUUGUCAGGAUUAAGAAGGACUGGUCUGCAAACUGUAUAUGCUUUGAAGACAAUUUUCAGUUUGAAUAUUGAUGUCAUUUAUUUUCGUGCAUGUAGUAAGACAUAUUUUAUAGGCAUCGUAUUAAUCAAACUAUAUAAUGAUUAAGUGUUAAUAAGGGAAGUCCCAUUAUCUGCUAAUAAGUAUGUAGAAUUAUUAUCAAUUACACUGCUGUAAAAGGAUGUAGUUUGGAAUAAUAUGUAUUCAUGUAAAGGAGUAUUCAUUUUUAAUACUCAUAAGAUGAAAUAUGUCACAUAAAUAUAUUUGUGUUACAUAAAAUAACCAGACACCUGAUUGUGGCAAAUACAUUAACUGUCAUCUGUUUACAUUAAGGAAAUAUAAGUCCGUAUUAUACCAAUAUACUAAUACUGAUACUGUUAAUGAGUCAUUGUUUUUCUUAGAUCAAAUACAAGUUGUGGUGGAUGAAUAACAGGUACUUGUUCUUCUGAGCGAUGUUUUGUGAUUCUGUCCAUGAAAUGUCCUAAAGGCAUUUUCUAUUAUCUGUAACUGUCAUUUGAGACACAAGGUGGUGCCAUAUACCUGUUCUUACCUUUGUUUGUAUGAAGCGAAAGAAUGAUAUAAUAAUUAGUAACAGCAGUAUGUCAGUUAUUCAGUCAUUAUUCAGAAGUAUUUGAUCUCUGAAUGCUGAAAUAAUUAAAACUAAUCAGAAUCAA